This is a small nuclear RNA of Mastomys coucha (southern multimammate mouse), 117 nucleotides long. RefSeq annotates it as U12 minor spliceosomal RNA. NCBI's taxonomy places the organism in Eukaryota, Metazoa, Chordata, Mammalia, Rodentia, Muridae. The record is from RefSeq and is a predicted model, not a curated record. The transcript has a single exon.
AUGCCUUAAACUUAUGAGUAAGGAAAAUAACGAUUCGGGGUGAAGCCCGAGUCCUCACUGCUUAUGUGAGACGAAUUUUUGAGCGGGUAAAGGUUACCAUCUAAGGCGACCCGCCUU